UUGAGGAGAGAAGCAAGAUUAACCCGGACUUGGACCAUCUGUUUAUUCUUUGCUGCGUAGACCCACAGAGCAGAAGAGGAAAGGGAGGAGAUGCUGUGUAACCAGCUGGAUUAGCCAAAUCCCGUUGGCUUCCUGAUAGAAGGAAGAGUGACGCUGCCGUCAGAUGAUGCUCAUGUCCUCAGAAGACCUUCCCUGGCUCUGGACCCAUGAAACUCAUAAAUCUUCUCCAGAAGCCCCUGACCCCAGCAGGAGGACAAGCAUGUGAUUGGACAUUCAAGGCAGGAAGUUCUUUGGACAGUGUUGUAGGAAUGGGUCCCUUCUGAAACUUUGGACCCAAUCAGCCUAUUUUCCU
This 352-nucleotide long non-coding RNA is filed under the name Mustela putorius furo (domestic ferret). Its description in RNAcentral is "lncRNA (ENSMPUG00000023932.1)". Lineage: Eukaryota; Metazoa; Chordata; Mammalia; Carnivora; Mustelidae. The record is from RNAcentral.